CUUGGAGCAGGAACAAUUACCUCUGUUUUUGAACUAGGGUUUAGCACCUCCAUCAACUCAAUGAAAUAUGCUAACCGUUUACGCUGUAAACAUGGUAAAGGAAGCUUAAUAAGCUAACUGGAGUUCCACCAUAGUUCCUCAUACAUGUAACAAACAAAUUAUAGCUUUCAGUAAAGAUAUCAGGUUCAUUUUUUAUUGAAACUCAAGCAUCUUGUGAACAUUUGGAUGGAGACGCAGCUUGAGUCAAUCAUUUGAGAGCAAAAUAAUACCUGAUGAUGCCCAUAAAUAUAAUCUUCAGCCAGGCGGACAGCAGUUGAUCCCAAGCCCCAGCGUACAACAUUCACUGUUGGACUUAUACGCCAUUUAGGUCCGCAAAGGAAGGGGUGACGCAGUGCAUCGACACAACUGUAAAUUA
Molecule: long non-coding RNA, 415 nt
Filed under: Hordeum vulgare
Lineage: Eukaryota; Viridiplantae; Streptophyta; Magnoliopsida; Poales; Poaceae
Description: long non-coding RNA (HVUL_LNC007639)
Source: RNAcentral